GAUUAAGCCAUGCAUGUGUCAGUACAAACCAAUAUAAGGUGAAACCGCGAAUGGCUCAUUAAAUCAGCUAUGUUUCAUUGGAUCUGUACCCCCCAUUUACUUGGACAACUGUGGUAAUUCUAGAGCUAAUACAUGCACACAUAGUCCCUGACCGUGAGGGAAGGGCGCUUUUAUUAGUUCAAAACCGGUCGGGCCUCGGUCCGUAAACCCANCCUGUGAUGACUCUGAAUAACUUUUGGCUGAGCGCACGGUCUCCGUACUGGCGCCGCAUCUUUCAAGUGUCUGCCUUAUCAGCUUUCGAUUGUAGGUUAUGCGCCUACAAUGGCUAUAACGGGUAACGGGGAAUCAGGGUUCGAUUCCGGAGAGGGAGCCUGAGAAACGGCUACCACAUCUAAGGAAGGCAGCAGGCACGCAAAUUACCCACUCCCGGCACGGGGAGGUAGUGACGAAAAAUAACGAUGCGAGACUCAUCCGAGGCCUCGCAAUCGGAAUGAGUACACUUUAAAUCCUUUAACGAGGACCCAUUGGAGGGCAAGUCUGGUGCCAGCAGCCGCGGUAAUUCCAGCUCCAAUAGCGUAUAUUAAAGUUGUUGCGGUUAAAAAGCUCGUAGUUGGACUUAAGUUCUGGACUGACGGUUCACCGCCCGGUGCUUACUGUCACGCUCCGAACCGCUCAUUAAUUUGAGCCCUGCCGGCUUGCACGGGGUGCUCUUCACCGAGUGUCCCGAGUGGCCGGCAUGUUUACUUUGAAAAAAUUAGAGUGCUUAAAGCAGGCUACUUGUAUGGCCUGAAUGUCUAUGCAUGGAAUAAUGGAAUAGGACCUCGGUUCUAUUUUGUCGGUUUUCCUUAUCGGAACCCGAGGUAAUGACUAAUCGAGACAGGCGGGGGCAUUCGUACUGCGACGCUAGAGGUGAAAUUCUUGGACCGUCGCAAGACGAACUACUGCGAAAGCAUUUGCCAAGGAUGUUUUCAUUAAUC
Molecule: ribosomal RNA, 977 nt
Filed under: Leiogalathea ascanius
Lineage: Eukaryota; Metazoa; Arthropoda; Malacostraca; Decapoda; Munidopsidae
Description: SSU rRNA
Rfam family: Eukaryotic small subunit ribosomal RNA
Source: RNAcentral